RNAcentral lists this ribosomal RNA (317 nucleotides) under uncultured Treponema sp. Its description in RNAcentral is "partial 16S ribosomal RNA". The record is from RNAcentral. Lineage: Bacteria; Pseudomonadati; Spirochaetota; Spirochaetia; Treponematales; Treponemataceae.
GGAGUCUGGGCCGUAUCUCAGUCCCAAUGUGCCCGAUCACCCUCUCAGGCCGGGUACCCGUCAUCGCCAUGGUGGUCCGUUACACCGCCAUCAAGCUGAUGGGACGCAGGCCGCUCCCCCGGCGGAGCCGAAGCUCCUUUCCUCCCGCGGCUCCAGCCCGCGGGACCGUAUCCGGUAUUACCCUGCAUUUCUGCAGGCUAUCCCCGUCCGGGGGGUGCGUCACCUACGCGUUACUCACCAGUCCGCCGCUCUGGGGAGGUGCAAGCACCUCCUUGCCGCCCGACUUGCAUGCUUAAGACGCGCCGCCAGCGUUCGUU